This 255-nucleotide ribosomal RNA is filed under the name uncultured bacterium. Its description in RNAcentral is "partial 16S ribosomal RNA". It matches the Rfam family "Bacterial small subunit ribosomal RNA", at positions 524 to 776 of the family's 1533-position model. The record is from RNAcentral.
UACGUAGGGUGCGAGCGUUAAUCGGAAUUACGUGGGCGUAAAGUGUGCGCAGGCGGCCGCGCAAGUCGAGUGUGAAAGCCCCCGAGCUUAACUUGGGAAUUGCGCUCGAAACUACGUGGCUGGAGUGUGGCAGAGGAAGGUGGAAUUCCACGUGUAGCGGUGAAAUGCGUAGAGAUGUGGAGGAACACCAAUGGCGAAGGCAGCCUUCUGGGCCAACACUGACGCUCAUGCACGAAAGCGUGGGGAGCAAACAGG